GACGAACGCUGGCGGCGUGCCUAAUACAUGCAAGUAGAACGCUGAAGGAGGAGCUUGCUCUUCUGGAUGAGUUGCGAACGGGUGAGUAACGCGUAGGUAACCUGCCUGGUAGCGGGGGAUAACUAUUGGAAACGAUAGCUAAUACCGCAUAACAGUAGAUGUUGCAUGACAUUUGCUUAAAAGGUGCAAUUGCAUCACUACCAGAUGGACCUGCGUUGUAUUAGCUAGUUGGUGGGGUAACGGCUCACCAAGGCGACGAUACAUAGCCGACCUGAGAGGGUGAUCGGCCACACUGGGACUGAGACACGGCCCAGACUCCUACGGGAGGCAGCAGUAGGGAAUCUUCGGCAAAGGACGGAAGUCUGACCGAGCAACGCCGCGUGAGUGAAGAAGGUUUUCGGAUCGUAAAGCUCUGUUGUAAGAGAAGAACGAGUGUGAGAGUGGAAAGUUCACACUGUGACGGUAUCUUACCAGAAAGGGACGGCUAACUACGU
RNAcentral lists this ribosomal RNA (494 nucleotides) under uncultured bacterium. RNAcentral describes it as "partial 16S ribosomal RNA". It matches the Rfam family "Bacterial small subunit ribosomal RNA", at positions 28 to 506 of the family's 1533-position model. The record is from RNAcentral.